GCCUGAGGUAUGGAAUAAGAAUUAGUCUGGAAUCUUUGCCUUUAUAUAAAUGGUCCAGAUAUUCACAUUUGGCUAGAACGGGGCUGUCCAGUAGGGUAGCCACCAGUCACCUGUGUCUGUUUAAUUUUAGACUAAUUAAAAUUAAAUAAAAUUAAAAACUCAGUUCCUUAGUCAUGCUAGCCACAUUUCAAGUGCUAAGUUGUCCUGACUACUGCAUUGAUUAGAACAAAGAUGGGAUAUUUCCACUGCUACAGAAAGUUUGAAAAGGGCUCCUCUAGACAAAGUGUCAACCAGUUUGUUCAGGAAAGGGCCAAAUAAUAUGCAUUUUAGGUUCUGGCCAUAUUGCCUCUAUCUCAUAUACCUCUUUGUAUUUUUAUGACACUUUAAAAAAUGAAAACUAUCCUUAAGUAGCGGUCAUAUGAAAAUUGUCCAUUUUCCAGAUUUAGUCCUCAGGUCAUAAUCUGCCUACCUUUUCUCUUUACCAUUUCCCCCACUGGAGAGAGCCAGUGUACCCACCCACCUAUUUUUAUUUUUUAUCAACAAAUUUAUCCCCUCAAUGACACUUCAAUUGCUCCCAUGGCUCUAAUCACUCCACUUCAAGUCCUCAGCUUUUCUCACCUUUAAUUCUAUUCUUUUGCAUUUGGAAUCACACAGAAUAACCUUUCAGACAGUUUUCCCCCCAUGAAAGGACUGAAGUUUUUACAAUUAUUUUUUCCCUUGGUAAAUUUUAUAUUUCAUAAGCCUUUCCUGUGCCUUCUUUUCCAUUUGACUCCUCUCUGAAUUACCAAACUCGGGAAUGAGACCACAUGACAAAGUGUUCACUAAGGGACAGAGCACUUAGCUUAUGUUUCAUAAUAUUAUAGCAUAUGAGAAAACCUAAAAAAACCUCAGAAGGCUUUUGUUGAUACAGCCUGGUUGAAUGAAUUAUAUAUGACGCUUUUCAUAUAUUUGAUAAUCUAUAUAAUUCAUAAUCAUGUGACUUAUUGCCACACUAAAAUAGAAAACGGGGGGGGGGUUAUUCUAUUUUUUCCCAUUGCUUAAGGUUAUUUUUUUUACUUAUUUUCCCUACAUAGAAAAUUGUAGAAAGAUGUGAGAAACAGGGGAUAUGAGGUUAAAACCUACUUUUUAGGAAUGCAAUAGACAAUGUAGUCUUAAUAGAAGAAUAUAGAAUUUGGUAUUUUAAAAGUUGUAUGUGAGUCCUAUCAAUCCAACUAUAGUUAGGGACAGCUAACUAAAGUAUAAAAAUUGCUUUUUAGCUAUUACUUAUCUCAACCUCCUUUUUCUCUCCUGAUUGGAAGAAAUGAAUGAGGAAUCUAGCUUUAUUUGAAUCUAGACCGAAUAUUAUUUUAAAGCAAAAACAAUCAACUUAGAGUCAGACAAAACCCAUCAUAUUCUCAAAAUCCAUAUCUUGGUCUGCCAUGUUGAUUUGUACUAAAUAUACUUUGCUUUUUAAGGCUCUUUGAGAAGUAUAGGAUUGUUACAUCAUAAUGCAGCUGUUCCAUAAACAGUUCAGUUUAUUUCCCUAAGAUAUGAUUAUGUAUGCGACUCUCUUAACAUUUCUUCUUUCAUGUGGAAAGAUACACCCACCUUCACUCAGGAAUUUAAUUUAAUUUAAAAAAUUGAUUUCACUUAACAUGCAGCAUGAUCUCAAUAUUUAACAGCUGUAUUAACAGGAAUUGAUAUACUUACUGAACAGUUCUGCUAAAAGCUAAAAAUCAGAUAUCUUAUUUCUCCAAAAUGUGAGAGAAUAUGAAAAUACACUGAGGUAUAAAGUGUAAUGGAGCUGAAAAGUAAAAACUUAAAAAUCAAUUAGUUGGCAUCUAAUGUUUAAAAGAAUGACUGCCUGGGAUAUAUUUUGAAUUUCUUGUAAAAGUAUCUUACCUCUGUCAUUUAACACAAUGUUGACAGAGAUAUAGGAUAUAAUUCACUACAGCAGGGUACCAUAUUUUUCAUGGUACAAGGAAAUCAUAAUGGAUCUGUUACCAAUAGCUGGAUUGUGUUCUUCCAUUGGUUUUCAUUGUGUAAAUUAUGAUGCCAGAAUUUGUACUAGUCACUGAUAGACUCAAAUGCCUAGGACUUAGCAAUCUCAUUUUCCAAAGUUAAUCAUGAGAGGGAAGGUUCUGGGUGGAUCAUGAAUUCUGCAAGAGUGAACAAAGCGGCCCAAUACAGUAGCUUCUUUUCAGGGAGGGCCCCAUCCCACUGCAAUAGCAUGGCACCAGACACCACAGUGACAGCCUGGGGCUAGGCCUCCAAGAGGGAGUAACAACAAGUCACUAUUAGAUUUCCACCUGAGUAAGGCCACUUUCCAAUUCUUUUGCAAAGAGCUGACAGAUCUGAUUAUAGCGACAGGCUGCCCAUCCGCAAGAAGAAAUUGAUGUGCACAAGGAAAUUGCUAUCGUUUUUGGAGCCCUGCUGUAAACAGGGAAUGCUGAUUUCUGCCAUACAGGAGUGAGGCAGGAAUGCCAAAGGUUGUCAGGGCAGGUGAGACUGAUUUUCGGAGAAUUCAGUAACUUCCUCUAUCUGAAGACUGUUUUAAAAAAGAAAACCACCAAAAUGCAUUUCAAUGGAUAGAAUGUAAAAUAGAACUUCAAAAGUAAGAGCUGACAAUUUAUGAGGGGUAACACUUUACAUUAUAAAUGAACAAUGCAAUCAGUUCUCAAAAGGUUUUAUAUCUCCCUACAAGGCAUUAUAAACUUUCAAAACUAAAUACUGGUUUACAGAAGGCCUCUUAGAUCUAAGUGAGCAGAGACUCAACACCUUGGUAAGAAUUAACUGUCACCAUUUUACAUUGUGAUUUAGACAAAACUGACUGAUUGGAUUAAGGUAACUCCUAGAGUGUGCAUAAGGGAAUUAAAUCAAGAAGAGAAGCAAUGAGGAAUAAUUUGUCAACCUGAAAAUUUUACGGUUAUAAAAAAUGUUGGAAUGGAAAAGAAUGAUAUAAUGUCAAAUGCACACAGAAGGCUGGUAGUUUGCAUGGGAUCUAAAAUAAGAAAGAGGAAUGGGAGAAUGGGGAUUUAUAAAUAUUGUUCUGUAAUAUCCAAGAGGAACUGCACUCUGACUCUAUCAACUGGCACUGAUUCACUAAGCAGAAAAAGCUUCCAGUGUGGAAAAGAGCAAUUUACUAUGUUUCCCAAACUUUGUUCCCUGGAACAUGUCUUGGCUUAAAACCGAACAAACCAACCAAAAAAUGCUCACCAUCUAGUAACUUUAGAAAACACUGUAUGCUAUAUAUACCACUUAAUAUGCUAAAUGGCCAUUAGCAUAUUAUGAUCUCCAGCAGAAUUUGACUUAGAAAAUGUUUUAAUUUUGGUUAACCAAUAAUUUUUCAAAAUUAUUUAGCCAAGUAGGUGCCUAGACUUCCAACACCAAACAGCUAUUAGCAUUCCAUGAAACUAUGAUCUGUGACACAUGUUGCAUUUGGAGAGAUUCUUUAUAAACCAAUUCCUUUACUUUAACUGCACGCUUAGCAAGCACGCCUAUAAUCGUAACCUGGAAUUUGGACGAACCUACUAACCUGCAAAGAAAAGCCCACAUAAAAGGUGUAGUCCAGAUUUCAGGCUAGGUGUAUGUCCAACUCCUUAUCCAGGGCCUUCCUGCUGCCACAUUAAUAGCUAACAGAUUCUGAAAGCAAUAACAGAGAUCCUGAAGCACAGUUCUUGGUUAUUUUCAGAUUCCCUGUCUCUAUACCAAACUUUUCUGUUUCCUUAGGAAAAACUGGAGAAACUUUAUUAAUUCAUUCGAAUAGUUUUAAAAAAACACUGCCUAUUAAAACCUUAUUUAUGAGGGAAGAAGAAAUGGGCAGCAGAAGCAAUAAAAGCUACAAGUGAUCUGUUUGCACUGUCUGCACUCCAUGGUGUAUCCUAGUGCAGCAUUUCUCAACUACAUGUCUCAACCCACUAACAGUGAGUUAUGCCCAACUAAUUGUAACUCAUAAUAGAAUGCAGGAGUGUGUGAAUUAGAGCCCAAUUGUUAGACUUGCCAGAGCUGGCUCAUAUUUUUAAAGGGCCAUGGAGUAAAUGAUUCAAGCUUUGUAGGGCCAAGAUGCAAAACUAAGGUUAUUAUGUAGGUAAUUAUAUAACCAUUUAAAAUGUAAUCAAUUAAAAAAUGUAAAAUCCGCCCUUUCUUAAUUCACAGGAAGUAAAACAACACAACAACAACAGAGUUCCCAUCAUGGCUCAGUGGUAACGAACCCAACUAGUAACCAUGAGGACGUGACUUCGAUCCCUGGCCUUGCUCAAGUGGGUUAAGGAUCCGGCAUCGCUAUGAGCUGUGGUGUAGGUUGCAGACGAGGCUUGGAUCCCAAGUUGCUGUGGCUGUGGUGUAGGCAGGCAGCUGCAGCUCCAAUUUGACCCCUAGCCUGGGAACUUCCAUAUGCUCCACACGUGGCCCUAAAAAGUCAAAGGGAAACAAACAAAAAGCAGGCAGCUGAUCAAAUUUAAUCCACAGGCUUUUGUUUGCCAGUCCCUGGUUUAGAGCAUGGACUCUGAAGUCAGAUAGUCAGGUAUUGUCUGUUAUCAGCUGUGAGGCUAACUUUAGGAGGUAUUUAAUCUCUCUUUCUCAGUUUGUCCAUCUAUAAAAUAAAGAUAACAACAUUCCCUAUCUCAACUGAUAUCUGUGAAGAUGACUUAAUUAAUACAUGUAAAACACUAGAACCAUGUCUGACAAUGAGUGCUCAAGAAAUGUUUUUUAAAUAGAAUAAUUAAUAUUAGUCCAAAUAGCAGCACACCCUGAGAUGUAUGGAGCUCUUCAUUUAUUUAUUUAUUUGUAUUUAUUUAUUUAUUUUUGCUUUUUAGGACCACGCCUAUGGGAUAUGGAAGUUCCCAGGCUAGGGGUUGAAUCAGAGCUGCAGGUGCUGGCCUAUGCCACAGCCACAGCAACAUGGGGUCCAAGCUGCAUCUGGGACCUACACCACAGUUCAUAGCAACACGGGAUAUGUAACCCACUGAGCAAGGCCAGGGAUCGAACCCUCAUCCUCAUGGUUAUAAGUCAGGUUCCUUUCUGCUCAGCCAAAACAGAAACUCCCCAGAGCAAUUUAAAUGAUAAAAUCAGAGUGGAAUUUGUGUUUAGUGCACAUGGAAACCUGAGGAAUGUGAUGAGAAUGUGAGCUUAUUCCACUGUCUAUGUUGUUCUGCAAAAGCAGUAAGAGCCACUAACCUCAGAGACUAGGAUACUUGGAUUUAAUUAUAGUCCCAGCCUGGUUCUUAUGUAUGCCAAAGGACCAGUCACUUUGUAUCUCAUUUUCCCAACCACAAAAUAGAGUUAGCAAUACUUUAUGGUUCAGGGAAUAUGUGGGUGAAAUAAGAUAUUAAGUGUAAAUGUAUUAAGGAAAAGAACCAAGAGGCCCAGACUAUGAAAAACUAUUUAAUGUAACUUAGAUGUUUCUUUCCUUACUCUAGGAGAACUACUAAGUUUUGUAGUAGAUCUGAGAAGGGAGCUCCCAGGAGAGAGGUUAUUCACAACUGUGUUGGGGGCAAAGCCUCAACUGUGGCUGAAAAACCUCAUUGAGCAUGCAGCCUAUUGUCUUGGAAUUUUUAUGGUCUGAAUACUGAAAAUUGAGCCCAAAUGCCAAUAUCACCAUGCAACUUAAGAUCUCUUUAAAAUGAAAUAUAUAUACUGUAAGAUCACAGGGCAACAAGAACAAAUGCCAUUCAUAUUUUUUUGACAUUUUAGAAAUUCCUUAAGGAUAAAAAGCAAAUGAAACAAAUCAUUCAUUUCUUAUCAAUGAAGUAUUUGAGAAAGCUCAAGCCUGGAGCCCACAAAUCAGCAAGGCAGGCAUUGUGGUAACAAGAUGAAGGAGAACUGCGUUGAGCACUGCCAAGUUCACCGGGCUCACUCUUCAACCUGAGAUGCAGAUGAGGGCAGUGUCUCCCACCUCUAGACUGAUGCCCGGAAACUUCUGCCUGAAAGCCUUUCUAUCCAUGAAGGGCUCACAGUACACAUGGGCACUGAGAUAUGAAAGCAGUCUCCACAAAAGCAGAAAAGCUAAAGGGGGAGCUGCCUGCUAAGGCUGUUCUGAGAAGUAUUAAUUCAGAGGAAGCCUAGGUACCAAAGCAGCAGCUCAGUUACCCCAGGUAAUUUACAGCUUCCAGAGGGAGGGACAGAGAGCUCUCACACUAGGAAGAUAGAUAAAUCCCCAGCACACACUGAGCCCUGCACCACAUCCCUCCCACCAGGAGAGGCAGGACCUGUAACAGUAAAUAUGAGAGAGAAGCUGACAUGGAGAAGUUAGAUCCACAAGUUUAAAGGCCCAUCAGUUAAGUGUUUCAGAAAGAAAAAUUCAGAAGAAAUGGACAGGCAGGAAUAAUAAUGAAUAAAAUCAAACAGAAACUCAAGUCUGAUGAUUGAAUAUAGUGUUAGUAGAAAAGAAACCUUCGCUGAUGGAUAUUGCGGUAAACUUACAAAAAUGUGAAUAGAAGGGAAGAAGUCAACAGCUUCCCUGGAGGAAAAAUAAAAACUUAUCUACUGACAUGGGAACACCAAACUGUCAUCAGAAUUUCUGUCAGUAACAGCCUCUAGAAAACUAUGGAAUCAUGUCUUCAAUAUUCUAAGAAAAAAAAAAAACAAAAUUAUAUUCAAGUAUGAGAAUGAAGAUAUGCAUUAGGAUGCAUAGGACUAAAAAUAUUUAGACUUUUUGUAAAAAAAAAAUUACUAAAAGGAACCCCUAUAAAACAAACAAACAAAAA
RNAcentral lists this long non-coding RNA (6683 nucleotides) under Sus scrofa (pig). Its description in RNAcentral is "lncRNA (ENSSSCG00000060421.1)". Lineage: Eukaryota; Metazoa; Chordata; Mammalia; Artiodactyla; Suidae. The record is from RNAcentral.